Molecule: unclassified non-coding RNA, 330 nt
Filed under: soil metagenome
Description: partial contains 5.8S ribosomal RNA, internal transcribed spacer 2, and large subunit ribosomal RNA
Rfam family: 5.8S ribosomal RNA (bases 1-120)
Source: RNAcentral
GAUGAAGAACGUAGCGAAAUGCGAUAAGUAAUGUGAAUUGCAGAAUUCAGUGAAUCAUCGAAUCUUUGAACGCACAUUGCGCCCCCUGGUAUUCCGGGGGGCAUGCCUGUUCGAGCGUCAUUCCACCACUCAAGCCUCGCUUGGUAUUGGGCAACGCGGUCCGCCGCGUGCCUCAAAUCGACCGGCUGGGUCUUCUGUCCCCUAAGCGUUGUGGAAACUAUUCGCUAAAGGGUGUUCGGGAGGCUACGCCGUAAAACAACCCCAUUUCUAAGGUUGACCUCGGAUCAGGUAGGGAUACCCGCUGAACUUAAGCAUAUCAAUAACGGAGGA